AACGCUGACUGUCCUGCCCGUGGACAGAAGAGUACUGUGUCAGCGAGUGAGGUCAGUGUUCCAUGCCCCAUGCCAGGCCAGCCCCACAUGGCCAGACCACGGCAGGCUACCACAGAGAACACAGUAACACCGUCAUCUCCUUCGUAAUGUGUUGUGCAUAGUGCAUAGUAGACACCCAACACGUUUUUGAGUGAUAUAAUUAUAAAAUAUCGUGUGAAUGUGAGGGUCUCACUGUCCUACGGCAACCCGAUGGGCAGUAACAGUCAAAAGUGUGGAUCAACGACGACACGACAAUGACAACAACGACGAAACAAACUACAGGAGUCAACGACGCGUGAGGCAGGUUAUACCAAGGGGAGUGCCCCACUUUCCGCCCCCUUCAGACGGACUGACAGGGAAGAGUGUGAUGGAAAUACGUUCGUGCAGAGUAGUAGCAAGAGCUAGUCAUGGAGAGAAACAAAUCUGAAAGGGGCAGUCCACCCGGGCUGGAUCCAACAGAUAUCGUUGCUGAAGACAUAGACCUGGAGUCAGUGAUGGAGGAAGGCCUGGGGUCAAUAGAUGGCAGAGUUGAAAGACUGCUACAUACCGUCACGCAACCAUGGCAGAAUGAAAGGAACUUGAACGCUAGGACACUGCCUAAGAAUCUGGGCACCAUGCAGCAGCUGUUUGAACGCAGUCAACAAAUACAACAGAUGUUUACCCACGUGUCAACCAUGGUAAGAGACUUUACCGAAGGUGUAAAUCAGUUACGUGCAACAAAGAGCACAGAAAAUUGUCAAGUGAUGUCGAAUUUGGCUGCUAAAGGAUCCUCUCCUAUUGUUGGCUUAGAAAUGGCUCCUGGGCGUGCGGGAAGCUUGUCAGUUACUUCAGUAUCUGAACCACGAUUAUCUCACCAGGGGAGUAUGCGAAUAUUGCCCGAAUUAGUACAACCUGUCAAGUGAUGUCGACUUUGUCUGCUGCUACUAAAGGAACCUCUCCUGCUGGCACAGAAAUGAUUCCUGAGCGUGCGGGAAGCUCGUCAGUCGCUUCAGUGUCUGAAUCGGAACUGUCUCACCAGGGGGAGUAUGAGGAUACUGCCCGAGUCCGUACUGGCCCGACCAACCCGACUACACUCUCAACAAACAGACAGACCGGGGACGAUAAUAACUCACUCAGAUCAUCGAUGCAAUCAAGAAACCAAGAGAGCCAGGAACUAACUGUUACAUCAAGGAGCGAAGAAUGGAUGAAGGAGUUACUAACCAUUUUAAAACUCUCCCAGAAGCCACUGCCCACUUUCAACGGGGGCUCAUGUGCCGACUACUGGGCAUUCAAACGUGCCUUCCAACGUCACGUUCGAGAGGAUGGGAUAUCAGACCGCCAAAGGUUGGGAUAUCUGAUUGCAGUCUAUUCUGGCCCAGCAAAGCAAGAGUUGUGCGACUGUCAGGAACUGGAGGAUCUCAUGGAAGGAUAUAAGAAAGCCUGGGAGCUGCUGGAAACCAGACAUGGUAACAAACGCACAUACAUUCAGCACUUAAUGAAAGGGGUCUGUCGGGGACCAAGCGUGAGGAUGAAUGAUAUCAAAAGGCCUACGCCUUUUCACGGAUGCCUUGAACACCUGCGUGAGGGACUUGAAGGUUAUGGGAGAACUAAAGCAAAUUGAAACGUAUGAAUCCAUGCGUGUCAUAACAAGGAGAUUUAAGGGAAAGCUGAGAGACGACUACGUGGAUGAGUCACACAGACAUGAGGAACUGGACAGUGCCACCUCAUGCGACGCCGAAUGGUUGUUAACAUUUACGAAGAACAUGCUCAGAAAGGCAGAGAAGGACAGAGAACAGAUAGAAGAGCCAAGUGGACAACAUGCAAACCCGUCAUGUAAGUCCCUACCAACUCAGAAGACUAUGGAACUGAUGACUGCAGCGUCAAAGGUGACAGACAGUAGUCUAACACAGAGUGCUCUUUGUGUCAGGAACGUCAUCACAUCGAAACAUGUAGGUGCUUCAUUGAUUUGAGCACAAGUGACCGCCUCUCGCUAGUACGACGAGAGCGGCGGUGCUUCUCAUGCUUCGGUCAUAACCACUGGAUAGCAACAUGUUCCCGAAAGGUGUUGUGUGGGACUGACGGCUGCCUAGAAUUUCAUUCCCGCCUCUUACAUUUCACAGGAAGUACACUUAACAGGCAUAUCAAAGUAAGAAUAGCGAGGCACCCUGAUGCUUAUCAAGGACUAAAAAGAACUCACCUUGAAGGCACCUCAUCAUCUCCCCAUAAAAAAUUAAGAUAGACACUACUACUGGCCAUUAUGCCAUCAGACCCAUCCACUAGUGGCACCAGUUCUCAAGCGAACAUCUUCCCAAAGAAGGGAAAUAGAAGUGAAAUCACCACUCUGGUGACCUUCGACAAGAACAAGAAAGACCCCUUCAGAUGGAUCAGCACCAAACAGACGGGAGACGAGGUUGUUUCAAUAAUAGAUGCCUCUUAUUAUAAGGCGUGACUAAGGAGCCCAAACAGAGUAGUUCUUCCCAUUGUAAAGCUGAAAGUGGGAUCCAAGAGCCAGAAUCCAGGAAACUUCAUUACUGGUGCCCUCUUAGACUAAGGUAGUGAUAGAUCUUAUUGUACGCGUGGUCAAACUGAUCGUCUACAAGCCAAGGGGAAGCCAAUAGAGUUAACCAUUGGCACGACCGUGAGUGAAGAAACAAAACUAAACACUAAAGAACUUGAUCUAAUGGUGAGCAGCACCGGAAUAAGAAGUUGAACUGCCCCUAUCCUCCAAAUUAUCGUGGUGACGGAACUCCCGUCUUCUCCGAAAGAGUCUGUCGCAAAGGUUAAUGAUAUGGAGGUGUGGUCUUACCUUUGAGGCAUCGUACAAUGCCGUGCUCCGAAAGAAUUGGAACUAUCAAUAUGCUUAGAUGUACCCUAAGCACUAGUACCACUAGAGGUAGAAUCUGGAAAGGAUGGAGAGUCAUUCGUGACUUGCACCCUUCUUGGUUGGACAAUUAAUGGCCCUAAGGGAAUCAACAACCAUGAUGCAACCCCAGUAUACGGUCACGUCACCACGACAACUGCACAAAAUGAAAGAAAACAUGUGGGUCACCAAGACAAAUCUUUCUGGAAAAUAGACAUCACCAACAAUAAAGAUGAUGACGUCUUUUUCACGACAAAAGUGUCGCAAAGCUUUGGCAGAGAACGUAAUGCAGGUGGAUGCACAUUACCAACUUCCUAUCCUACUUUGCAACAAGGACCAGGGCCUGCCAGACAACAAGGAACUUUCAGAAUGACGGUUGGAGACCCUUAGAAGACGUCUUGUCAAACAUCCGGAACUGUUCAUUCAAUAUCAAGAGGAAAUAACACGCUUACUUAGCGAAGGCCAUACUGAAUGAGUCCCCUCUCACAGUCUCAGUACUACACCUGGCAAGACCUGGUACAUCCCACAUCACCCGGUGCUAAAUCCUAAGAAACCAGAAAAGGUGAGAAUAGUGUUCAAUUGUGCAGCCACUUACCCCUUGCCAGGUCCGUAUGGCCAGACCAGGGCAGGCUACCACAAAGACCAGACCACGGCAGGCUACCACAGAGAACACAGUAACACUGCCAUCUCCUUCGUAAUGUGUUAUGCAUAGUGCAUAGUAGACAACCAACACGUAAGUUUAUCGUCUUUACAUGUGCUUAUCCCGCAUGCCACUCUGUGACUGUGUUUUAGUGUAUUUUUGUCGCUUCACAUAAUGUAUCAUGUAUUUGUGUCACAGCCGUUCUCGUUCGGUGGGAAUGCUGGGGAAAUAUGGGUGCGACCUGUUGAAGGGCCUAGUUAUUUCACCUGCAUCCUUGGCAAAGGAGAACGCGCGUAUUGUAUUUGUUUUUACCGUGAUAUAUUCUGUCAACAGGCUUUUCACUGAAAUAUAUAGUAUCGUGUCAACGUGAGGGUCUCACUGUCC
Long non-coding RNA from Portunus trituberculatus (swimming crab), 3902 nucleotides. RefSeq lists it as uncharacterized. Lineage: Eukaryota; Metazoa; Arthropoda; Malacostraca; Decapoda; Portunidae. The record is from RefSeq and is a predicted model, not a curated record. The transcript has 3 exons.